AACAUCUUCAGAUGUGGCCUUUUGAAAAUCAUUCAAAAUUCAUGAUAAAAUACGAUAAUUGAAGUGUAGAAGAGUGUUACGUGGUAAAGCAAGGUACAUGGGAUCUCUGCAGCAAGAGGAGAUUCGUGCGGUCGAUUGAAUAUGUGAUUUAUUCAAUCAUCGUCAUCGAUAAACAUAAUGGAUGUGCUGAGCGAGAGUGUCGCCGAGCAAUUAUAUGGAAAUAUUUGUUCAAAUGAAGUAAUAUUUCAAUUGAACGUUAUGUUUCAUGCAAUUGUAACGAAAUCGUGUUGUUAUCAAUAAGUCGUGAAGUACAGACAUGCUGACACAGGUAUUAUUAGGUAGUAUGAUACAAAAUACAUCACUCCACAGGAACCCGACGGAAAAUUUGAUUAUGUUCGCCGUUGAGACUAUCGCUGUGUAAAAUAAUACAUGGAGCGGAGCGGCUGAAGUAUAACUUGUAUCUGCUUAGUAAAUUUGAAACAUUUUUUCGUAAUUUUAGUUGCAAUUUUGAUGUUUGUUUAACAGGCCUCAACUCGGUUUCAAGUAAAUAUAGAAAUGGGGCCUUUUUGGGAAAAGGCCGCAUUUGCGAUUAAUAUCCUAAUUAUCGGGAAAUGAGAUGGGGCCUUU
This is a long non-coding RNA of Aedes aegypti (yellow fever mosquito), 627 nucleotides long. RefSeq lists it as uncharacterized. The transcript is spliced from 2 exons. The record is from RefSeq and is a predicted model, not a curated record. Lineage: Eukaryota; Metazoa; Arthropoda; Insecta; Diptera; Culicidae.